Molecule: ribosomal RNA, 449 nt
Filed under: uncultured bacterium
Lineage: Bacteria
Description: partial 16S ribosomal RNA
Rfam family: Bacterial small subunit ribosomal RNA
Source: RNAcentral
AACGAACGCUGGCGGCAUGCCUAACACAUGCAAGUCGAACGAGAUCUUCGGGUCUAGUGGCGCACGGGUGCGUAACGCGUGGGAAUCUGCCCUUUGGUUCGGAAUAACAGUUGGAAACGACUGCUAAUACCGGAUGAUGACGAAAGUCCAAAGAUUUAUCGCCAGAGGAUGAGCCCGCGUAGGAUUAGCUAGUUGGUGUGGUAAAGGCGCACCAAGGCGACGAUCCUUAGCUGGUCUGAGAGGAUGAUCAGCCACACUGGGACUGAGACACGGACCAUACUCCUACGGGGGGCAGCAGUGGGGAAUAUUGGACAAUGGGCGAAAGCCUGAUCCAGCAAUGCCGCGUGAGUGAUGAAGACCUUAGGAUUGUAAAGCUCUUUUACCCGGGAUGAUAAUGACAGUGCCGGGAGAAUAAGCCCCGGCUAACUCCGUGCCAGCAGCCGCCGUAA